AGUCUCCAGGUUCUAGGUCAUAAAAGCUUCAGAUCCAAAUGGUAUGCUAGCAUUCUCUUCCUAGCAGUCCACUGUCAAGACUUCACUGUUAGAAGAAGAAUCACACCAGAAUUAAGGUCAAAUGGAUUAUCUUAUUCUUAAUUGCUGAAAAUCACACCUCAUUGAAAUUUGCUUCAUAACUGAACCAUGAAUUUUUCAUCAAACAUACUUUUGUGUUUCUCCUCCUGGCAUUCUUUAUGAGGAACUUCUUUUUGGAGCUCACUGACUUCCUGUUCUAAUUUGGUCCAGUUAUUUUCUAGAAUUGCUACAUGACUGUCAUCCUGGGACAUCCUUCUGUUGGAAUCUGGGAGAGCUUACAACUUUUCAUAUCCUCUCUUCUUCUUUGUGUUUUUCACCCUGAAGUGUACAAAGUCAAAUGAAUUUCCUAGAAAAACUAGUGAGUUAAUAUUUUGAGUCCUUGUGAUAUGGGAGGGGGGCAGGGAAGUGCUGGGUAGAGAAGGGUGGGGUCCCUGGUGAGGGCUCCACUCUCAGGCCUGUGCUCAUGGACCUAAAUGAGGACAGGCAUUUCUGUUUUCAUGCCCCAAAUGUUGCCUUUUGGCCCACCAUGCGCCCCAUCCUGUACCCAUAAAAACCCAAGACUUGAGAAGGCACAGACACAAGUGGCGGGACGUCAAGAGAGCUGAAGAACACAGCAACAGACACCAGCAGACAACAUCAGGCCAUCGAUGGCUGCAUGAUGUGGAAUUUGGCUGGGGGCAGUUGGAGGAGAGUCUGGCUAUUGGGCGACCUGACUCCAGGGGAAGACUACCUUCCCACUCCAUCCCCCUUGGGGCUCCUCAUGCAUCUCACGAGAGCUACCUCCACCACUCAAUAAAACCUUGCACGCAUCCUCCAAGCCCACGUGUGAUCCGACUUCUUGGGUACACUAGGGCAAGAACCCGGGAUACAGAAAGCCCUCUGUCCGUGUGAUAAGGCACAGGGUCUAGUGGAGCUGAUUAACACAAGCCACCUGCAGAAGGCAAAGCUGAAAGAGCACACCACAACACAUGCCCACUGGGGCUUCGGGAGCUGCAAACACUCAACCCUAGACACUGUCGUGGGGUCAGAGCCCCAAAACACUCCCCACGACCUGCUCAUCUGCAUGCUCCCCUCAGGAGUUUGAGCAGCAGGUCACCGAAGAAGCGAGCCACACCCGUUGCAUGCCGUGUGAGGGGGAUAAGGGAACUUCUCCCAUUUCAUCUGAAUAUCUGAAAGUAUCUGUAGUUGGGACUCACGUUUUAUUUAUAAUUUGUCUCGAUAUAGAAGUAAAGGUAUAAUUUCCUAUAGAAAUUUGAAACAUUGUUCCCUUGUCACAUCUUGCUGAUAAAAAACCUUAUGUCAGAUGAUUUUUGGUCUGAUAAUAUAGAAAUUUUGAUUAACUUACUAAAUAAUUAUAUUUCAAUAUGAUUCAUUUGGUAAUAAUUUUAUUUUAUUUUUAUUCUGUCAUGUCUAUUUAAGUUGUAUAAUACUUUCAGAUAUAGAAUUUGACAAAGUUCCUAUGGCAAAUAUGAAGCUGCAUAAAAUCUGCUUCCUGACCCAGAGAACUUGG
This 1588-nucleotide long non-coding RNA is filed under the name Homo sapiens (human). Its description in RNAcentral is "HSALNT0139519". Lineage: Eukaryota; Metazoa; Chordata; Mammalia; Primates; Hominidae. The record is from RNAcentral.